Molecule: ribosomal RNA, 252 nt
Filed under: uncultured bacterium
Lineage: Bacteria
Description: partial 16S ribosomal RNA
Rfam family: Bacterial small subunit ribosomal RNA
Source: RNAcentral
UACGAAGGGUGCAGGCGUUGCUCGGAAUUAUUGGGCGUAAAGGGUAGGUAGGUGGUUACGUAUGUCUGGGGUGAAAUCCCUGAGCUCAACUCAGGAAGUGCCUUGAAACGGCGUAACUAGAAUACUGGAGAGGUCUGUAGAAUUCCUGGUGUAGCGGUGAAAUGCGUAGAGAUCAGGAGGAAUACCAGAGGCGAAGGCGGCAGACUGGACAGUUAUUGACACUAAACUACGAAAGCGUGGGGAGCAAACAGA